AGGUCCGUAGCUCAACUGGCAGAGCAGCUGACUCUUAAUCAGCGGGUUCGGGGUUCGAGUCCCCGCGGACCUA
This 73-nucleotide transfer RNA is filed under the name Bacteroidetes bacterium CG12_big_fil_rev_8_21_14_0_65_60_17. Its description in RNAcentral is "tRNA-Lys". It matches the Rfam family "tRNA". Rfam says of the family: Transfer RNA (tRNA) molecules are approximately 80 nucleotides in length. The record is from RNAcentral. Lineage: Bacteria; Pseudomonadati; Bacteroidota. RNAcentral also lists the same sequence under 3 other names.